This 468-nucleotide ribosomal RNA is filed under the name uncultured bacterium. Its description in RNAcentral is "partial 16S ribosomal RNA". It matches the Rfam family "Bacterial small subunit ribosomal RNA", at positions 28 to 507 of the family's 1533-position model. The record is from RNAcentral.
GACGAACGCUGGCGGCGUGCUUAACACAUGCAAGUCGAACGGCAAGGCACUGCUUUUGUGGGGUGCUCGAGUGGCGAACGGGUGAGUAACACGUGUGUAACCUGCUCUUGUCUUUGGGAUAACUUCAGGAAACUGGGGUUACUAUCGGAUCGGAGACCCCGCUGCAUGGUGGGGGUUGGAACGUCUCGGCGGUCGGGGAUGGACUGGCGGCUUAUGGGCUUGCUGGUGGGGUAGUGGCUUACCCAGGCAUUGACGGGUAGGCGGCAUGUGAGGGGGGACGGCCACAAGAGUACUAAGGGACGGCGCAGACGGCAACGGUAGACAGCAGUGGGGAAUAUGACACAGUGAGCCGGAGCCUGAUGCAGCAGCGCCGCGUGCGGGAUGACGGCCUGCGGGGUGUAAACCGCAUUCGCCUGUGACGAAGCGUUUGUGACGGUAAUGGGUGAAGAAGCACCGGCUAACUACGUG